AGUGAACGCUGGCGGUAGGCCUAACACAUGCAAGUCGAACGGCAGCACAGUAAGAGCUUGCUCUUACGGGUGGCGAGUGGCGGACGGGUGAGGAGUACAUCGGAAUCUACUUUUUCGUGGGGGAUAACGUAGGGAAACUUACGCUAAUACCGCAUACGACCUACGGGUGAAAGCAGGGGAUCUUCGGACCUUGCGCGAUUGAAUGAGCCGAUGUCGGAUUAGCUAGUUGGCGGGGUAAAGGCCCACCAAGGCGACGAUCCGUAGCUGGUCUGAGAGGAUGAUCAGCCACACUAGAACUGAGACACGGUCCAGACUCCUACGAGAGGCAGCAGUGGGGAAUAUUGGACAAUGGGCGCAAGCCUGAUCCAGCCAUACCGCGUGGGUGAAGAAGGCCUUCGGGUUGUAAAGCCCUUUUGUUGGGAAAGAAAAGCAGCAGGUUAAUACCCCGCUGUUCUGACGGUACCCAAAGAAUAAGCACCGGCUAACUUCGUG
Molecule: ribosomal RNA, 492 nt
Filed under: uncultured bacterium
Lineage: Bacteria
Description: partial 16S ribosomal RNA
Rfam family: Bacterial small subunit ribosomal RNA
Source: RNAcentral